UUGAGUUGCAGCAGGGAGCAGGGCUCCUCUCCGUUGAAAGGGGCUUGGCUGUCAGAACACCCCCUGGCCCUGGGGGGCCGCGGCCACGGCCUUGGCUGGGACGGAGACCAUGGCUGCAGCUCUCGCUUGCCAGUAGUGGCUGGCUGGAGGAUACCCCAGUUCUGGGGACCGCAGCAGUGGCGCCAGCCAGGGGCUGCUCCAUCUUUGCCGGUAAUGGCGUGCCCGCAGCAGCAACUUUAGGACUUCCGGGUGUGACAUUUAUCUCCGGUGCGCAUGUGUGACACAUUCUCUGGACAGAGAGACAUAAUUCUGUCUCUCUGGAGAAGCAUAGAGAGAAGAAGAGAAAACAGUCUUUAUCUCUGCUCCUUUGUUUUCUCUAUGUGGAAUUUGGUAUGGAGAUUGUUUACCUGAAGUGAUUGCUUGAUUGGAUUCUGGUGAAGGUUGUUUGGGUUCAAUGACCAAUCGGAUCCAGCUGUGUCUCAGACUCUCAGCAGAGAAGUCAUGAGUUAGUUAGAUAGGUAAGUAAGGAGUAUGUAUGUAGAAUAGGAUAGUCUUUAAAUAGUAUAUUAAUGUAAUAUAGUAUAAUUUUAAUAAAGCAGAUCCUUCAGCUUUCUGAUCUGGAGCCAGACAUCAUCAUUUCUUCCCAGUCAGGGGUGCCCUUUUUUACUAUACACGUGAAUCGAAUUCUCUCACAGGCAUAGUUGGAACAGCUGCAGAGAGCUCUGUUGCUAUGGAAACUGGGGCUGCCACAAAAUGUCCACCUGUCACAGCUGCAGAGCAAGCAGCAAACGUGGUUUUGCAGUGGCCAGGGACUUGGCAGCAACCGGGCACUGUCUCGCAGCAGCCACGCACAAUCCCAGGGGCCCCAGCCAAGGCAGCAGAGCCCAGAGCGGCAGGACACUUGUUUAGUGUGGUUCAACAGAGCACGACGUCUCUGCCGUUUGGAGCGGCGGGGGUGCACUCUGCCAGCAACACACGCUGGGACAGGCUACUUCUGUGGUUCCACUCAGCAGCAGGGUGCCCUGCCGGCAUGCCAUCCCCACCCAGGGCACCAGUAUGUCUCCAAAUGGUUGCAGAGCACCCCUGCCCAGGGUGGCAGCUCUGUCCCCGGUGACCUGAGGAUGUUCUGCUGGGAGACAUCCCUCCAUGGAGCGGCAACAGAGUCCCAGGCAGUUUCAAGGCGCAAUGUGACUGCUCUGCCUGUUCUUCUCCCCCAUUCACUUUUUAACUGUCCCAGUAAGCCCAGUAUAAGCCUCAAGGGCUUUAUAACAUUAAAAAAGAGUCCUUAC
Long non-coding RNA from Vidua chalybeata, 1289 nucleotides. RefSeq lists it as uncharacterized. The record is from RefSeq and is a predicted model, not a curated record. NCBI's taxonomy places the organism in Eukaryota, Metazoa, Chordata, Aves, Passeriformes, Viduidae. The transcript has 2 exons.